GACCUUAUAUUCAUGUUUGUGAUAACAGAAUGCAAUUCUGAUGGGGUGGGCAGAGAAUUUCCACUAAGGCCU
RNAcentral lists this transfer RNA (72 nucleotides) under Glyptotermes sp. Its description in RNAcentral is "tRNA-Cys". The record is from RNAcentral. Lineage: Eukaryota; Metazoa; Arthropoda; Insecta; Blattodea; Kalotermitidae.